GGCCUGAAGGAGUGAUGAAAGUUAGUCCUUCCCCAGGGAGGAACUCUGAGCAGCCCAUAUUUUUUAUCUUUUAAGUCUGGAAAGGAGAAUGGCCUGAUGUAACAUUUUACACAUUACAAUCAAUGAGUAAUAGUUUGGUUGAUGACAGGUUUUACUGAAGACCUUAGUUAUACAUGGUCUCCCACACAACUUUGCUCUGACCAAGGACUCAAUUUAUAGUGAAUCAACAAAGGCAAUGGGUUCAUACUCAGUUAUUUGUUGAUCUUGACAUAUUCCCUACAAUCCUGAAGCAGCUGGUUCUAUAGAAAAACCUACUGAAGAUUAACUUACGGUGCUAGCUGGCACAUAGGUACACUGCAAAGUACUCUAUGCAAGUUUUCAAUUUUAUGCUCUUGGACCAAUUUAUGGUGCUUUUCCUGGUUAGAGUACACGAACCUUAGAACCAAGGAAUAUAAAUAACUACACCUAACAACUAAUGCAGAAUUUUUGCUUCUAUUCAUGUGACCCUGGGUCCCGUUGGUUAGAACCUCAAACACUCAAGGGUUGAAUGUGAUUGUAGGGAAACAAAACAAUAGUCCCACUGAAUUGGAAAUUGUGAUUAUGAGCAGCCAGCAGCCACCGCACCUGCAAGACCACAGGAUGGUAACAAACCCGCUGAGACUAGUCAACCUCAAUCUAGCACAGGGGGUUACAACCAGCCCAGCCUAGGAUAUGGACAGUUAUCUAACAGUUAUCCCCAGGUACCUGGGAGCUACCCCACGCAGCCAGUCACAGCACCACCAUCUUAUCCUCCUACCAGCUACUCCUCUACACAGCCGACUAGUUAUGAUCAGAGCAGUUACUCUCAGCAGAACACCUAUGGGCAGCCGAGCAGCUAUGGACAGCAGAGUAGCUAUGGUCAACAAAGCAGCUAUGGGCAGCAGCCACCCACUAGUUAUCCCCCCCAAACUGGAUCCUACAGCCAGGCUCCAAGUCAAUAUAGCCAACAGAGCAGCAGCUACGGGCAGCAGAGUUCAUUCCGACAGGACCACCCCAGUAGCAUGGGUGUUUAUGGGCAGGAGUCUGGAGGAUUUUCCGGACCAGGAGAGAACCGGAGCAAGAGUGGCCCUGAUAACCGGGGCAGGGGAAGAGGGGGAGACCUGA
RNAcentral lists this long non-coding RNA (1143 nucleotides) under Canis lupus familiaris (dog). Its description in RNAcentral is "lncRNA (ENSCAFG00030019540.1)". Lineage: Eukaryota; Metazoa; Chordata; Mammalia; Carnivora; Canidae. The record is from RNAcentral.